Molecule: non-coding RNA, 209 nt
Organism: Pelobates cultripes (western spadefoot toad)
Lineage: Eukaryota; Metazoa; Chordata; Amphibia; Anura; Pelobatidae
Source: the annotation of a GenBank genome assembly
AUUGUAUUUGUACCCAGCCACCUAGAAUAUGUGGAAAUAAAAAGUUUCUUUGUAUUUCAUCACUUCCUGCAUCCUGGAUUGAUUGAAAUAACCAAGACUGAGGACCACAGAGGAAUUUCAGCUGGGAGUUCAACUUUACUAACACUGAAUUGAUAUGCUGUUAGUCUGAGCCAGCUUUUAAAAGUGGCUCAUGACCAUGUGAGUUUUAC